AACGUAGGUCACAAGCGUUGUCCGGAAUUACUGGGUGUAAAGGGAGCGCAGGCGGGAAGACAAGUUGGAAGUGAAAUCUAUGGGCUCAACCCAUAAACUGCUUUCAAAACUGUUUUUCUUGAGUAGUGCAGAGGUAGGCGGAAUUCUCGGUGUAGCGGUGGAAUGCGUAGAUAUCGGGAGGAACACCAGUGGCGAAGGCGGCCUACUGGGCACCAACUGACGCUGAGGCUCGAAAGUGUGGGUAGCAAACAGG
Molecule: ribosomal RNA, 253 nt
Filed under: Faecalibacterium prausnitzii
Lineage: Bacteria; Bacillati; Bacillota; Clostridia; Eubacteriales; Oscillospiraceae
Description: partial 16S ribosomal RNA
Rfam family: Bacterial small subunit ribosomal RNA
Source: RNAcentral